This 1275-nucleotide ribosomal RNA is filed under the name Triticum aestivum (bread wheat). RNAcentral's name for it is "partial small subunit ribosomal RNA". The record is from RNAcentral. Lineage: Eukaryota; Viridiplantae; Streptophyta; Magnoliopsida; Poales; Poaceae.
CCGCCAACACUGAACAUGGACAAGAAGGGCGGAGCAGCGCAACCGCCGUCGCCGCCGUCAAGGAUCCUGGCUCCGGCUGAGGAAGGCGCCACCAUUGAGACAAGGGAAACAACAAAAGCCAAUGAGAACUUAGAGUUUGGGGGCAGCAUUGCUGGCUUUGGUGUAAGCAUGAUGGUGGCCUGGUACAUUCUCUUCCCAGGAGAUAGAGGAGCACAUAAUCUACGGUGCAUCAUUCCGUUGUUCCUUGGCUUCGCAUGCCUCAUCAGUGGUGUUUGCCUGAUGCUGCUCAGCAUGAACCUGCUGGAGCUCCCACAACACCUUGUCUCCGAGAGCCAGCUCAUGGUUUCCAAAUACCUUUCCUGGUUAUGCAGCGCAUUGCCAGUGGUAACAUUGAUCAGCCCCUUUCUGCUCUCUGGGUAUAAGUUAUACAGGUACAUUGGCCUUGCCCUUCUGGUUGUGGUGACGGCUCCGCUUGCUGUAGUACGAUGGUAUGUGGGACUCAAAGCUCAGGGCGGUGACGAAGAGGCAGCACUCAGGGAGCACAAGGAACAGUUGGAAGCUGCCUUUAAGUUGGUGUCAGCCAUUAGCAACUCUGCCUUCACAGGCGUGGUUGCCCUGGUGGUCAAUUACAAUGUAACUGGUGGUUCAGGGAAGACCAAAAGUGUUGUUCUUGUAGCCAUCUUCUUGGUGUUCACUACUUUAAUCUGGGGUCUGCUCUACAUCGCGAUCCGUGACAAGGUACUGGAGAUCAACAGUCCAAGGCUCAGGGGAUGCAUCAUCAAAUGCAUGUCGCUAGCAAUUAUCUUCAUUCAUUUGCUGCUAGCCUGUGCAGUUCUUGCAGUGGCUUUCGAUAUAGUUGAGUUCUCCAUCUUCGCAGCAUUCGCCCCUUGGGUUUUUGCGGCGGCUGUCCACAUUUUCAAGGAGCACUGUGUUGGCCGUACAACAGCCCAGGACAGCAACCCGAGUGACUACCAAAAGGCACGCCUCAAGUGGAAGGCAGAGAUGGGGCACAAGAUCACAAUGUGGUCUUUUACGGCAAUCAUCGCCAUCUUUGGAGGGUUCCUUCAUGGGAAGGCUGAAUCUCUCAAGGCCUGCACCAUAUUAUUCACCUCAGCUUUUAUGUCCGGCUUUGCUCUCACGGUGGCCACCAUCAAGCCAGACUUGACCAGUGUCGGCCUCGCUGCAGCUACCACCGUACUCGAUUGGACUGCGAAGGCAACAUUUGCUGCGGCAAUAUUUGCUAUUAUCAUUGCAGUGGUCCUGGAUAUAUUUUGA